CCGUCUUGGACUUUGUAUGCUAGUGUUAGCAAUUUGAAUUUGAUGUGUGCUGCUAGCGGUAGCCAGGGGAGCUCAAUGAACAGAGGGGUGACGUGUGCUCUUUUAGGCCGACUGAAGACCAGACGCGCCGCUGUGUUCUGGACCAUUUGAAGAGGUCUCAUAGUGCAGCCUGGAAGACCAGUUAGAAGGGCAUUGCAGUAAUCGAGGCGUUUCCUGAGUGGUUUUUCUUUGUUUCGCUACCUGAGUGGUAUUUUUGUUAAUAUUAAUAAUAGUUUGUUUGUCCUCAUUUUCAUGAGAGACUUUGCUCACCCUUUUGGUGCGGCUUUUGUGUUAUUUCGUGUAGUUUUAUUUCAGCCCUUUUGCGCUGCGCUUUUGUUAAUUAAAAAUUGUUUAAUUUGUUAGACAUCCCUUUCGUUAUUUAUACCCAGCAAUUGGAUGACAUUUUUGUUUCCUUUUCAGCCCAGAGUGCUGUUUGUUUUAAUAAACUUCCUUCUAAGAGUUUUAAAUUAGUUAGUUUCAUUCACAUAUAUAUGUUUCUUUACUCCCUUAACAUCCAUCGUGCUCCUAGUGAAGCCAAGGGACGUAAAAGAGUGGGGCCUUGUCCGGGAUUUAUUGUUAUUUAUAACAUCGACAACCCGUUUUUACAUUUACCACUUAUACUGUGUUUGAAACUAUUUUUUUUAUUCUCUUAGAGGCAAGGCAGAGGCUAUGUCAUCCUUUGACGUACAGGCAUGUGUGGAGGCUCCAUCGCGCCGGCUGCUGGAGGGUUGUAGGAAAUCCGACCUGCAGCAGGUUGCCGCCCACUUCAGUCUGCUCGUCCCCAAGCAGCUGACCAAAGACGCCUUACGUCAGUUCGUCCUGGAUUCCCUGGUUUUCCAAGAGAUCCUUCCGCCGUCUUCGAAACCAGUGUCAUGCCCACCGUCACCGCCGGUGAUUCCCUCCCAGAAGUUUCCGGAGGAAGAAAAUUAAGGUGGGACACCUUCCGUUUUUAGUAAAAUAUUGAAAAUAAAACACAGAAAUAGCGUUUUUAUUUAGGAAGAAUGGCUCACUGGAUUAUUGAAUAAGACUAGUUAUUGAAAGACUGGCUGAUGUGUCCAAUUAUGUAGAGAAUCAAACUACAUAUUAGAAUCAACACUGUUUGCUGUCAGUUGUUAGAUUGUGGAAAAAUGACCAUGCAUAUUAAUCUAUGAAGCUUAUAUCAUACAUAAAUAUCCCGGAUACUUAUGUAUGAUCUAAGUUCAUACACCAACCUGUUUGUGUCAUCGUUCUCAGGUCUAGGUGAGUCCUCCUCCUCAAUUAACAAUCUUUGGGGUUCUGUGUUCCACAGGUGAGGAGCGGAGAGGUACCAGCUGGGCUGAGUUAAUCAUUUGGAGCUCGGGUUUAAAAGGAGGAUGGAGACACUACUCGAAGCCGGAUGAUUACUCCAGUAUUGGAUUACCACCCCAACCUUCACCAAAUUCUGCUAAGAACCACGGAUC
This is a non-coding RNA of Nothobranchius furzeri (turquoise killifish), 1478 nucleotides long. Lineage: Eukaryota; Metazoa; Chordata; Actinopteri; Cyprinodontiformes; Nothobranchiidae. The record is from RefSeq and is a predicted model, not a curated record.